RNAcentral lists this transfer RNA (83 nucleotides) under Caulobacter ginsengisoli. RNAcentral's name for it is "tRNA-Leu". It matches the Rfam family "tRNA". From Rfam's summary of the family: Transfer RNA (tRNA) molecules are approximately 80 nucleotides in length. Lineage: Bacteria; Pseudomonadati; Pseudomonadota; Alphaproteobacteria; Caulobacterales; Caulobacteraceae. The record is from RNAcentral.
GCGGCUAUGGCGGAAUUGGUAGACGCAACUGGUUUAGGUCCAGUCGGGCAACCGUGGGGGUUCGAGUCCCUCUAGCCGCACCA